Molecule: ribosomal RNA, 406 nt
Filed under: uncultured bacterium
Lineage: Bacteria
Description: partial 16S ribosomal RNA
Rfam family: Bacterial small subunit ribosomal RNA
Source: RNAcentral
AUUGAACGCUGGCGGCAGGCCUAACACAUGCAAGUCGAACGAGUGGCGGACGGGUGAGUAAUGUCUGGGAAACUGCCUGCUGGAGGGGGCUAACUACUGGAAACGGUAGCUAAUACCGCAUACCAUCGGAUGUUCCCAGAUGGGAUUAGCUAGUAGGUGGGGUAAAGCCUCACCUAGGCGACGAUCCCUAGCUGGUCUGUGAGGAUGACCAGCGAUACUGGAACUGAGACACGGGCCAGACUCCUACGUGAGGCAGCAGUGGUGAAUAUUGCACAAUGGGCGCAAGCCUGAUGCAGCGAGGCCGCGUGGAUGAAGAAGGCCUUCGGGUUGUAAAGUACUUUCAGCGGGGAGGCGUUACCCGCAGAAGAAGCACCGGCGAACUCCGUGCCAGCAGCCGCGGUAAUAC